CCGGUUUCUACAGUGGCUGCUGGCACACCGGUCCACGCACAUGCCUGCCUCACACUCUGGAGAAGCUGUUUGUCAGCUAUGGUAACGGAUGUGGAAAGAAGAGGGAGAAGGAACACACGCACAUGGCAGCAGCAUUCUGAAAUCACAGAAAACAUUAUACUCUAAAUACAGUAGUGAUCUCCAUUCAUGAAGCAAGUUUAAAGCAUCCUCGAAGAUGUCAUUAUAUUUCAAAGGUGAGACUAAUUUUAUUUAAAGAGCAUUCCUGUAUUAACUUGAAAACUGUCUCUUCGGGAUGUUCCACUUGAAUUCUGGAGCUAUUUAUAUUCCUAUAAUGUGAAAUCUAAGGAAAUAGGACUGAGGCAAGUGUGGGAUGGCAACUAUGGUCGGGGCGGGACAGAGAAUCAUCUUCCAGAAGAGAAACCUCCCAUUAGAUCUCGCCCCAUGCAUUCCUUCAAAAGUAGCCUUCUUUCCCUUUUCUGUAGGCAAAAUUCUUUUCUCAGUUUUAUGUUCUCCUCCCCCACCCCACAACCUCCCCAACACCACAACUGAGUUGCAUAUUUUUCUGUUACAGGCUGCUCUCACCAAGCUAAAGUUCAAGAGCGGCCAGGCUACAAAAUUAAUUUUGAAUGUGUCAAAUUUAAGCUCCCACUGUUGACCAGGAGCUCCACAGUGCAUCUCCACAGUGCAAAUGACAACUGGUUAUGCUUGACAUCUGUUUAUCACAAUUAGCCGUUUAGAAUGGGGAUGCCAUUCCCACAAACAGCAGAACAUUAACAGUGGUUUAAAGGAGCCAGGACUCUGCUCCUUCUGCAUUUCACCAGUAAUGUCCUCAUAGCUCAGCUCUGUCCUGUCUUAAGUUCACUUCGAGUGUAUUCUCCUCCAAGUUUUCUGUAACAAUGGCGUCAACAGAUUGGUGGAUGCGGGUACUGUGUAUAUUAUGUAGGUACUCAUGGGUGCUAUGUUAUAUUAGAAGAGAGAAUAUCUCUAUGUAAUUCUUUAGAGAAGCUAUAACAAGCAGGCAAGUAAAGGAAAAAAAAAAUAUUGAAGCAAUUAAAUCACCUGUCCUUACAAAUUAUGAGGUGAAUAAGGGAACCAUUGUUAUACUUACGAAGUAUGGAAACCUACCUAGUAUUAGACUGAACCAUAUUAAAUUGUUAAUAUUUCACAAUUUUUGGUCUACCAGAAUAGCAUUUUCAUUUGAUUCAACCUGCAGUUGAACUAUAGUUAACUAUAACAUUACUAGUAAUUAACUAUUUAUCAGUAGUUACUAUGUUACAUUCUCUAAUCAUCACCACAAUUUUACUAUAAUUAUUGUUACAACAUUACAGAGGAGAAAAGGGAGGCGUGGGGAGGUUAGGGAAUGUGCUGAACACUUCACAGUUAGCAAGCAGUGGAAAUGGGAUUCACACCUGGUAAUCUGACUCCAGAGCCCGCUUUGAACCACCGCCCUCUACAAAAGAGAAUCUGAAAUCUGACUUUGGCAUUCACCAGCUUUGUGAGCCUGGGCCAAUUACUAAACUUCUCUAUGCCUCAGGUUUUUUUUCCCUCUGAAUUGGGACUGACCAUAGACCCUAUCUGAUGUGAAGACAGACCCUAUCUAAUGUGAUGAUAUAAGUAAAGCACUUAGCCCAGAGCCUGGCCCAUGGAGAGAGCGCAAAUGUUCCCUAAUAGCAGUGUGUGGGCGGGACAAUCGCUCUCCCACCUUCCCCAAGACCGGAAGUGAAACAGCACAUGUUGUGUCCCCAUCACCAUGUGGUGGGCCGGCAGCCACUCAUAGACGGGAGGGCGGUGGGGUCUGGAGUUCUCAAGUCUGGAAGUGACACUCUUCACAGUCAGUGCACGUGACUUUGGUGCAUAGGAGGAUCUUCACACUGCUAUGUGCACCAGCUCUCUCACCUAGAAGACAGACCAUCCACGCCACACUGUUGCCCCUACCAUGCUCCACCUCCUUAACCCUGCCCUCAGCCCUGUCUUCUAUUUCCUGCUUUAGAGCUGCUACUUCAUAUUUCUAUGAGAAUCUAGAAAGCUUUCACAAACAACUUAGACUUCUUAUUACCUGACUCGCUCCUUUGGCAAUCAACUAUACAGUAUUAUGCAACCCAUGCUUAAAGAAGCAUUGAUGAUCUAAGCAGUGCUAUGGAACCCACAAGGCCCUCGACCAGGAUGUGGGGCUUGGCUUCUGGUUCUGCCACUGACCUAAGUGACCUUGAGCAAGUUACUUAUCAUCUCUGGACUCCAGUCCUUACUCUAAUCUAGAACAUCACUAAGUGUCUCCCGGUACUAAUAUGGUGAGUUCUGAAAACAUAUGAAGGUUUUAUUUUUUCUCUAAAAGUUAGUAGCUCAUCCAUUCAGGCACAUCUUUUCUUCUGAUUACCUUUUAAAAGACAACCCCGCAGGCAAGAGAGGUUUAUGUUACUCUGCUGAUAAACUGUAGACCAAGAUAGAUGGCCUUGAUUUCAGAGCACCAGAUUUCCACUGGCAUUUUUCCUUAAUGAUUUGCACAUGUCCUUGUAGGGUGCUUGGUGGUUAGAGAUUGCAAUGGGGGGUGGUCUAUGGAGGGAAAGCCUCACCAAAUAAUGAGGAAAAUGUGGUUUCCUUACUCAUUUUCCACUUCUUUGCAUCUGUGUUUCUGCAUAACAGUUAUACUGUUCUUUAGCGGUUAUAAGGUAGAUUCGUCUACUCUGUAAGGUAGAUUUGAAUGAUGCCUGUAUGGCAUUUACUUGCCAGGCCUUGUAUUUUUAUGGUAUGCUCCAAAAGCUCAAAGCGUUUUCACAGAGUAUAUUUUUAAAAAUUAAAAGUUCGUCCUCAGUAUUCCUAGGAAGAAUUGAGAGACUUUUAUGAGUGGAGGAGAUAAAGACGGCCUGUUGGCCUCAGGACUGCUUUCUUGUCAUAGAGCACUCACCACCUUCUAACAUACUGUAUAAUUUUCAUGUGUAUUAUGUUUAUUAAUCAUUCCUCUGCUCAGAACAAUGUCAGCUUCAUGAGGGCGGAGAUGUUUGUUUUGAUCAUGGCUGAGUACCAAGCAUCUGGAGCAAUGACUGGUAUAUAUUAGAUGCUCAAUAAGUAAACUCAACUUUAUAAAAUCAUGUAAACAAUUCGGGUAGAACUGUUAUCCUGUACAUUUCACUUUUUAGAAAUCACACUGUUAUAGAAGAAAGAGGCCAUCUAAAAUCGAUUGCUCUGGUGAGGACCAAGGUGAUGAUGAUGUAUAAGGCAAAAAAAGCAAAUAAAUUUUCGUGUGGUUCAGAAUUAGUUUAGCCCAAUUCUGUAAAUUUUCACAUGGAUAUUCCAGGCUGGAAAAAAGUCAAAGCAAAAGAAACAAACAAACAAACAAAAAACUGGGCAGUGAGCCUAGAGAGAAACUCAAUAGGCCUAGUUUCUCUUUUCUAGUCCAUUUUGUUUAAUUUUAUGGGAAAUAUUGUAUUUGUUGUAUUUGUUGGAGAACUCCGAGUGUGUCUAAAGGAGUCAGAUCCUUGAGGACACUCUAAGAAAAGUGGACACAAAGCAGCUGAGCCAGGCUCACUUUGUACUUGAGUGAACACUUUUUUAUCCCAAACUGACCAUAAGCUGACCUCAAGAUUGAUGAGAUAAUGGCAGCAGGCCUCUUAGCAUUGUAAAAGAUGUCAGUUAAGUCCAAAGUAUUAUUAUACCUUUGCCUGUAUAAUAAUUGUAGGACAUAAACCACUUAUGAUACAGAAAUCAGAGGUCAUGAUAUUUUCUCAUUGCUGGUAUUACUGCUGAAAGUCACAUUUUUCAAUUUAAAUUAUGCUUCUAUUGUGCUGUCUGAGGCUAACAGUCCUAAAGUAAUCAUAUCAUCCCUCUUCUUCUUUUCUUUCUUCACAUCCUCUAAUUCUUUGGGGAAACCAAGGUAUUUCUUCACAAGAAUGUUACUGGCCAGACGGGAGCAAAUAAACACAUGGAGCUCGGUCAUCCCUUCCAAGUCUCAACAUUCCCACUAGGGAACCCCAAGUUAUCACUGGGCGCUAAGAAUAACAGGUAUAGCGGAAUUACACUUGGGUUCACUUUUACCCUUGGGGGUGAAACAAAAACUGGAGAAAGAGCAUGUGGAACACAAAUUAUAGCGUUAUUAAUGACUCUUUCAAUCUAGGAAAAUUACACAGCUAAUAUAAAUAACAAAUAAAGUAUAAAGCUAA
Molecule: long non-coding RNA, 4154 nt
Organism: Pteropus alecto (black flying fox)
Lineage: Eukaryota; Metazoa; Chordata; Mammalia; Chiroptera; Pteropodidae
Exons: 2
Source: RefSeq, a predicted model, not a curated record